Molecule: non-coding RNA, 46 nt
Organism: Stegodyphus mimosarum
Lineage: Eukaryota; Metazoa; Arthropoda; Arachnida; Araneae; Eresidae
Source: Rfam
UCAAAGGCUUUUCUUAAAGCCAAAAGUACAACCUAAGCAUAGAAAG